UGGGGAAUUUUGGACAAUGGGCGCAAGCCUGAUCCAGCCAUGCCGCGUGAGUGAAGAAGGCCUUCGGGUUGUAAAGCUCUUUCGGCGGGGACGAAACGGUUCGUGCUAACACCACGGACUAAUGACGGUACCCGAAGAAGAAGCACCGGCUAACUACGUGCCAGCAGCCGCGGUAAUACGUAGGGUGCAGGCGUUAAUCGGAAUUACUGGGCGUAAAGCGUGCGCAGGCGGUUUGUUAAGACAGGUGUGAAAUCCCCGGGCUUAACCUGGGAACUGCGCUUGUUACUGGCAGACUUGAGUGUGGCAGAGGGGGGUGGAAUUCCAGGUGUAGCAGUGAAAUGCGUAGAUAUCUGGAGGAACACCGAUGGCGAAGGCAGCCCCCUGGGUUAACACUGACGCUCAUGCACGAAAGCGUGGGGAGCAAACAGGAUUAGAUACCCUGGUAGUCCACGCCCUAAACUAUGUCAACUGGUUGUCGGGGAAGCAAUUCCUUGGUAACGAAGCUAACGCGUGAAGUUGACCGCCUGGGGAGUACGGCCGCAAGGUUAA
This 549-nucleotide ribosomal RNA is filed under the name uncultured beta proteobacterium. Its description in RNAcentral is "bacterial SSU rRNA". It matches the Rfam family "Bacterial small subunit ribosomal RNA", at positions 355 to 897 of the family's 1533-position model. Lineage: Bacteria; Pseudomonadati; Pseudomonadota; Betaproteobacteria. The record is from RNAcentral.